Molecule: long non-coding RNA, 808 nt
Filed under: Fragaria vesca (wild strawberry)
Lineage: Eukaryota; Viridiplantae; Streptophyta; Magnoliopsida; Rosales; Rosaceae
Description: long non-coding RNA (FVES_LNC001804)
Source: RNAcentral
UUCACCAUAAUCUCCCUGCAUCUUCCAAUCUCCAAGUUAUCGACAAUCAUGCAAAAAAUAAAUGAUUCAAACACCAACCAACAACAACAACAACACAGUAGCUCCAAAAUACUAGAGGAGAUCAAGUUUACCUUCAGUCAAUCCCAUAACUCUAGUCUAGCUGCUCUCCUGCUGGAUCCAAACCUGUAGAAACCUCCAACCAUUUAUAUUUGCUGCCUCGGUCGCCAACUCCACCAAAACAACACCCCACACUUCGGUUCCUCUCAGUCCUAACUCACCCGACCUCUGCCUCAGCCCGGACCAACAAGCAACUGCUCCAAGGUCCAUCCUGACUUCACACAAAGCUCACAGAACCCAUCGAAACAUUGAAGAGCUCACUGAAAAUCCAUUGAACGUAGGUCGCCGGAGCUAGGAACCAGAAACCCAGAAAAAGGCAGAAAAGGGCUUUGCAGUUUAGAACUCGAUUCGGGAUGAAACAAACCUAGAAAAGAAGAGGAGAGGAAGGAGAAUAAGAAUCUGACCUUGGUCUGUCGAUUCGUUGCCGGAACUCACCGGAAUUUGGGAAGAACAGCCGUUGUCCUCCUCUUCCGAUCUCCGCCGAGAAUGGCUGCCUCCCGGAUUUGAGAGUUGAGCUAGGUCGGGAAGGAGGAGAGGACCACUUGGUGGCAGUCUCGUCGCCAAGGGGUGGCCGGACGGCGCUGCUCCGGUGAGGGACGACGACGGACACAGAGAGAGUCGGGGAGAGGAGAGAGAUUCGGUUGGGCUUGGUCAAACCCGACUUGGGCAUUUUGACUGGGUCUGACCAGUC